Molecule: long non-coding RNA, 3062 nt
Organism: Hermetia illucens (black soldier fly)
Lineage: Eukaryota; Metazoa; Arthropoda; Insecta; Diptera; Stratiomyidae
Exons: 6
Source: RefSeq, a predicted model, not a curated record
GCGCACGAGACAAGCUUCGACUCGUACGCAGCCUCAAUGUACAAUGAAGAAAUCAUGUCCACAAAGCCCCUCCAUUCGGCAAGGUUCGUUCUGAUGGCAGAUGACUAAUUCGCAUUCGCAGCUUGCCCGCGCUUUUUGCAGUUACUUUUGAUUGAAUUCGUUUUGAGAACUGCGGAAUGCAUUGUAUAAUUUCCAGCGCUAAUUAUUAAUGUCACUCGCUUCAGUUUCGUCGAUUCCAUUCAUAAAAAUUGAAUUGACGCCAGCGAUAAGUGCACCCUUACUGGCAUAUAUUCUAUCGUUUUCAUAACAUAAAACAUGCAGACAGGCCGAUUAACCCUCCACACUCUCACCACAUAGGAUAUAACCUUCUAGGUGUGCGCCCACAACCGAACUGCGAGCAUGUUUUCUGUUAUGGAAAUCAUAAAAAUGAAUGAAACCUAUAAGUGUACCUACUUUAUUCUUAAAUUCAAUUCGAACAUAUGGAAUCAACAAAACUAAUGCAGUGACAUCAAUAAUUGGCACUUGUGACUAUUGCUUGACACAAGCCCGUGUAAAGAGCUUCAUUUGACAGCUCUCUCACCACGCACACAUCCAAUGUACUUCGGCUUUAAAGGUUGUGACUGGAAUUGACGAGACGUUGGCUGUAGUUUAUAGAAUAAUGGUAAAAAACUAUGUGGAAAUGAAACAUCGAAUUUUGGUAAGGUGAACAAUCGGCCUACACUUGAUUUAACGAAUAAUGGACGGUAACUUUCCUGAAAUUAUGGAGAUCAUUGCAACCAUCGCAAACAGUAAUGCAUAAUCGAGUAGAGCGAGAAUAUUGCAGUUGAAUUACAGCUACAUUUUUCGAGAUAAAGCGGGUAAAGAUAAAUAUUUUUGCAGUUGGAGCAGUGGUACUUAUUUUGUAAAAUAAUUGUUGAUUACAAACUGCAACUACUCUUCUUUCAAGCGGUGAUAACGUAGUUAGAACCACUAAGUCCAGUUUUUGGUGGUAUUGUGUUCUGAUAUGAAGUGAUUAGUGAAGUUAUUGUGGUAUAUAAGUAAAUAAAGAAUUACCAAAAUUUACCGUUUCUUCUAACUAGUCAUUUUGAUGCCGUUUAAUCCUAAAUUUAAUUUACUGCAAUUCGAAAAUAAACAUGAAAACAAAGAUUGCGUGCGACAGUCAGUUAUGUUAAAGAAUUUGCAACCUGAAAGCAAUUUUCGGCGGACCCGCAAAAAUUGUUGGAGAGUGUGAUUUUGAUUGCUGGCAUACUUUUCACUUAACGUUUGCCAAUGUCUACUGGUGGUCAUCGGCGUCAAUUUGAAAUUUUUCUUGUCAGUGAAAGAAUGUGUUGGAGUAGAAAUCGGCCCUAUGUGGUUCUAGGGCAGAUGAAAUCAUAGAAGUGAUUGUAAUUUCAGGGAAUUUCUAUUCGAAAUUUCCUGCUGCAACUAAUUUAGUUCACUAGGAGCGCUUUGACAUAUCACGACAAUUCAACAUUCGCAACUUAAUGGCGUUGCAGGCGUUCCUUUUGCAAUGUAAAUCAAGAAGCUGACAGGUCGAUUGUUCUGAGUUGCGCCCUACUCUUUUAAGUGCUGCAGUUCAUUCUACUGCUGUUCAGGUUCGUAUCAUCCCAAUUUUUGUUCAGAUCUUUGCUGGUGUUUUCCAUUUCAGAUGCUGCAUAACUCAACCAACUAAGAGUGAAAACAUACCGAUGUAUUGUGUUAUCUUCGUGCUUGUGUUCAUUCAGGUAUGGAGCACAGUAGAUCUACUAUAGGCAGUACCCACACUAAAAUGAUCCCACUUGCGAAUGCGCUUGCAGAAGCUUAUCUGUACACAUCAGAGACGCUAAACAAGGAAAAGGCAUAAUCUUCGUCAAAUCGUAUUGUGGAAUUGUUUUCAACGAUGGAAGCAUGCAUAACAUUUCUGAAUUAAUCAAUCAUCGUAAUAUGUAACAGACUCGUCUUUAGUGGAAUCUAGAGUUUUCCUCAAUUUUAUUUUUUUUUCAAAAAGAUUACCACUCAGCUACGAAACUUACGCGGGAUAAUUGCCCCGUGGAGGCCUGCAGUCAUUAGAUGCAUGUUCAUUCAAAGCCUGUAAUUGUAGAAUGCCAUAUCAAAUUGCGAUCGUUAAUAGAAAAUUGCAGAGUUUCAUAUCUUCAGGCUACAGCAAUUUACGACCGUAACUACUUAUGAAUAGACAUGUUGCAUAGUUUGCAAUAAUAAAGGGUCUUAUAGAAAAUUGGGAAUUUAUAUUUUAAACCUGUAGUUAGAAAAAGCAAUUUAUAGUAUCAAUUUACGAUCGUACUGAGUGACGCCUAGAGUUAGACAUAAUGCAAUUAUAAAUGCUCUUAUAGAAAAUUGCGAAAUUUAUAUCUUGAACCUAUAGUUAGAAAAAGCAAUUUAUAUGAACAUUUACGAUCGUUACUUGGUGCCGCCUAGGGCUAGAUAUACUGCAUAUUUGCAAUUAUAGAUAUUCUGAAAGAAAAUUGCGAAAUUUAUAUCUUAAACACUAUAGUUAGAAAAAGCAAUUCAUAUUAACAUUUUACGAUCGUUAUUUAGUACCACCUAGAGCUAGAAUAUCCUGCAUUUUACUGUUAAAGAAAAUUGCGAAAUUCAUACCCAAUUUUGUGAUUAGAUAAUACUAGCACCAAUUUCUGAUCCUUGCUAAGCACUGUCUAGCGCAAGACAACUUGCAUAUUCACAGUAAUAAAUGGCCUUAUAGAAAAUUGUGAAAUUCAUAUCUUCACAAUUAAAGAUCCUGCUCAACUAAAUUAUAAAAACUUUUGGAUAGAAAAUUGCGAAAUCCAUAUCAAAUAAGUUGUUUCAAAUAACAUUAACAUUGAGACAAACCUUCACCGUUGUAGAACCAAGAUUAAAGUGUCUCAUAUGCAGAUAUAGCUAUCAAACCAUGUAUUUUUACUAUAUUUUUCUGAAGCAAAUGCUACAUAAAUCGGGUAUAAGCUUUAGACAUUCUCUGAACCUGAUACAGACAAGUAUUUAUAAUAAUAGAAGAGAUGGUAAGUAACCUUGCAUAAACAUAACUCAAAUAUUUUCUCUCAGGAUAUAGCAGCCCUCAAUGAAAUCAG